GAUUCCCUCUGCUGGCUAUCUCGAAUAGCAAGCGAUUUUUGCAGCAACGCUGCUGCCGCUGGAACUGAACCUGAAGAACUCAAAUGCGGGCGGUGGAUUAUUUCUUAUCCCUCCUCCAUCUACCCCACACAAGAGCUGCUUUUUGUUCCUCUUUUUUAUCUCUUUCUAGGAGUCUUGAGACUUCUCUUCUUUUGGUGUGGAUUCCGGAACUCCUUUCUGAAGCAAGAGGCAAAUAUCUCUCAGCAGAGAAUGCCAAGACCAAUCACUUAACCAUGGCAAUCUUACUCAGCAUGGUAAUUCCCACCCUGAUGGUCCCAAGAUGGCUGCAGCAGUUUCAGCCAUGUUAUCCUAAUCCACCAACAUCUGGAGGUAUCUGUCUUUUCAAUCUCCAUCUAUUACAAAUGUAGGAUACUUUUACCAGAAGGUCCUCCUCUAGACUACUACUCAUGUUUCAUUGGACAAAUUUGGUCCCAUGGAAUUUCUUAAGUCAUUUACUGAUGAGGAAAGUGGAAUUAUCAUGACUGGAUUAGACUACCUAAGAUUCACCACUCCUGAGCCUGGAGAAAGAUAAUUUUCUCAGAGCAAACAACUGCAUAUGGCUGAAGAUAGGAAUGAACUAUAAAACAAAAUUGGAGUCCUCCAGGAAAGAAAGGGGGAAUUAAAGGGAAAUGAUUGUGUAGGCAAAACACAAUAGUCUCCAAUGCCAAAUAAACUUUGUUUUGUUACUCUCUCAUCUACUUUAUCACAUUUUUUUCCUUGUUACCCUUCUCACCUUAAUUCAUCACCAAUAAGCCUCUUUAAAUCAAAUUUUUGAUGGUCAUCCAUAAAUCUCCAAGAAAUUGAGUGAUAAUUAACAUUACAGUGAUAAUGAGCUUAAGGUCUUGUUUCUUCUUGAAA
RNAcentral lists this long non-coding RNA (897 nucleotides) under Homo sapiens (human). RNAcentral describes it as "non-protein coding RBMS3-AS3:5". The record is from RNAcentral. Lineage: Eukaryota; Metazoa; Chordata; Mammalia; Primates; Hominidae.